GGGUCCGUGGUCGCGGCGACCAGCUGGUUUCCAAGUCCAGCCCCCGAGGUUCGACUCCUCGCGGACCCG
This 69-nucleotide transfer RNA is filed under the name Myxococcales bacterium. RNAcentral describes it as "tRNA-Trp". Lineage: Bacteria; Pseudomonadati; Myxococcota; Myxococcia; Myxococcales. The record is from RNAcentral. RNAcentral also lists the same sequence under 1 other name.